Molecule: RNA transcript, 1839 nt
Organism: Mauremys mutica (yellowpond turtle)
Lineage: Eukaryota; Metazoa; Chordata; Testudines; Geoemydidae
Gene: FARSA
Gene name: phenylalanyl-tRNA synthetase subunit alpha
Exons: 14
Source: RefSeq, a predicted model, not a curated record
UUUCCCGCCCCGCCCCCCCCCCCGGCAGGGAUGUCCCCCGCCAUGGCGACGGACGGGCCCGCGCUGGCUGAGCUGCUGCUGCAGCGGCUGGAGCGGGCGGGGGGCGGCGGCCUGGGCAGCCUGGAGGCGGCCGCGGCGCUGGGCCUGGAGCACCAGCAGCUGGUGGGGGCCGUGAAGAGCCUGCAGGCGCUGGGGGAGGUCAUCGAGGCUGAGCAGCGAUCCUCUAAACGCUGGGAGCUGACGCCCGAGGGGAAGGAGAUCGUCCAGGAGGGAAGCCACGAGGCCCGUGUCUUUGACAGCAUCCCUGCCGAAGGGCUGCCGCAGAGCGAGCUGAUGAAACUGCCGAGUGGGAAAGUGGGGUUCAGCAAGGCCAUGUCCAGCAAGUGGGUGCGGCUGGACAAGAACGCGGACGGGGGUCCACGCGUCUUCCGGGCUGUGGAGAGCGUGCAGGACUCGGUGCGGGAGAAGCUGCAGCUGGUGCAGCAGGGAGAGGCUGAGAGCCUGGAGGAGAAAGACAGGAACGAACUGAAGAAGCGGAAACUCCUGAUGGAAGUGAUCAUCAAGACCUACUGGAUCCGGAAAGGCAGCGCCUUCAGCACCACGGUCACCAGGCAGGAGACGGACCUCACUCCGGAGAUGCUCGCCAGCGGCUCGUGGCGUGACCUGAAGUUCAAGCCGUACAACUUCGAGGCGCUGGGGAUCAUGCCCGAGAGCGGGCACCUCCACCCGCUGCUCAAGGUCCGCACCCAGUUCAGACAGAUCUUCCUCGAGAUGGGGUUCACAGAGAUGCCCACCAAUAACUUCAUCGAGAGCUCCUUCUGGAACUUCGACGCCCUCUUCCAGCCGCAGCAGCACCCGGCCCGCGACCAGCACGACACCUUCUUCCUGCAGGAUCCGGCCGAAGCCACGGACUUCCCCAUGGACUAUCUGAAGAGAGUGAAGAAGAUCCACUCGCAAGGAGGCUACGGCUCCCAGGGGUACAAAUACGACUGGAAGCUGGAGGAGGCGCGGAAGAACCUCCUGCGGACGCACACCACGGCCGUCAGCGCCCGCAUGCUCUACCGGCUGGCCCAGCAGGAGAAGUUCACCCCAGCCAAGUAUUUCUCCAUUGACCGGGUCUUCCGGAACGAGACGCUGGACGCCACCCACCUGGCCGAGUUCCACCAGAUCGAGGGGGUGGUGGCCGACUACGGCCUGACGCUGGGGGACCUCAUGGGCACCCUCAGGGAGUUCUUCACCAAGCUGGGGAUCAGCCAGCUGCGUUUCAAGCCGGCCUACAACCCCUACACGGAGCCCAGCAUGGAGGUGUUCAGCUACCACCGAGGGCUCCAGAAGUGGGUGGAGGUGGGUAAUUCGGGGAUCUUCCGCCCGGAGAUGCUGCUGCCGAUGGGGCUGCCGGAGGGCGUGUCGGUCAUCGCCUGGGGCCUCUCUCUGGAGCGCCCCACCAUGAUCAAAUACGGCAUCAACAACAUCCGGGAGCUGGUCGGGCACAAGGUGAACCUGCAGAUGGUGUACGACGGCCCCCUCUGCCGCCUGGACGCGUAGCCCCCCGGCCCCCUCUGCCGCCUGGACGCGUAGGCCCCCGGGACCCCUCUGCCCCCUGGACGCGUAGGCCCCCGGCCCCCUCUGCCGCCUGGACGCGUAGGCGCCGGCCCCGCCCCAUAGCUAUUAGUGUCGGCUCCGGGGGCUCCCCCCCUUCCUGGGCAGACGGCUGGCGGGGCACCCCCGGCCCCCUUCCGUCCAGGCCCCAGCUCUGCCCUCCCCGCUGGGGGACGCGGCCGAGUGGCCCGGGCCGGCGCCUGCAGCCUGUGGCGCCCCAAUAAAGGGCUGGUGUCUGGG